This 326-nucleotide ribosomal RNA is filed under the name uncultured eukaryote. RNAcentral's name for it is "SSU rRNA". It matches the Rfam family "Eukaryotic small subunit ribosomal RNA", at positions 622 to 943 of the family's 1831-position model. The record is from RNAcentral.
AGCCCCAAAAGCGCGUAGAUGGAUCUCAUGAUUGAGCUGACGGUCUGCCGCAAGGCGAGCUACCGUCUGUCCCAGCCCCUGCCUCUCGGCGCCCCCUUAAUGCUCUUAGCUGAGUGUCCCGCGGAGUCCGAAGCAUUUACUUUGAAAAAAUUAGAGUGUUCAAAGCAGACCCGGUCGCCUGAAUACUGCAGCUAGGAAUAAUGGAACAGGACUCCAGUUCUAUUUUGUGGGUUUUCUUCUCUGAGCUGGGGCCAUAAUUAAGAGGGACGGCCGGGGGCAUUCGUAUUUUGCUGCUAGAGGUGAAAUUCUUGGACCGAAUGUUUUCA